RNAcentral lists this long non-coding RNA (400 nucleotides) under Oryza brachyantha (malo sina). Its description in RNAcentral is "long non-coding RNA (OBRA_LNC002925)". The record is from RNAcentral. Lineage: Eukaryota; Viridiplantae; Streptophyta; Magnoliopsida; Poales; Poaceae.
UAGCGUAAAUUGUCCGUCUUUUUCUAAUCAACAUUAACUUUUGGUCGAGGAGAUUCUAACAAAACUUAAAUAUUACCUCUUUGAUAGCUUUAGUGCAUGUCCUUGUCACCCAUCCUCCUCCUUUUAAUCACUAAUCACUAGACAAAAAAAAUCAACAAAAUCCACACAAAAUCCAUUUGUAAUUCCAUUAGUACCACACAAAUUUUCAUUUUUUUACAGGUCACAGUUCCACCACAUCGCACAAAUUCCCUCGUUUGCUAUUCGACGCACCACCACCACCACAGCCGACGUCGCCAUUCCACGCCGCGUCCAGAAGCGCACGCCAUCGUCGUCUCCUCUCCUCUCCGGCAUCCGCGCGUCCAAGAACACCUCCGCCGGCCAUGCCGCCCGAGCCGGANNN